AACGCACGAGACCUGCGGACCUGCGGAAGGAUCAUUACAUGGCGGAGAAGGUGGGCAACCUGGCCAACAUCCAGGUUGUGAUGCCUUCACGCUCUUCCACCCUUGUCUAUUUGCACCUUCUGUCGUUCCCUCGGCGGGUUUCGACCCGCCGGCGGCAACAUUGAAAAACCCUUUUUGCAGUUAGCAUUCAAUUCUUCUGAUCAAAUAUUAAGUCAUUACAACUUUCAACAACGGAUCUCU
Molecule: unclassified non-coding RNA, 240 nt
Filed under: soil metagenome
Description: partial contains 5.8S ribosomal RNA, internal transcribed spacer 2, and large subunit ribosomal RNA
Source: RNAcentral